Chrysemys picta bellii (western painted turtle) is the source of this 2138-nucleotide non-coding RNA. NCBI's taxonomy places the organism in Eukaryota, Metazoa, Chordata, Testudines, Emydidae. The record is from RefSeq and is a predicted model, not a curated record.
UGAAGCUAGCCCCAAUUGCUUGCCUAAAAUGCAUUCCCCCCCCCCCAAUUGUCACUGGUCACUCAAAUCCUGCUGGCCCCCCACUUGAAGCUGUCACUAGAACCCUGUCUGCCCCGCACCCACAGUGGAACCCUUCCUCCCACACCCUCCAGCCCAGGCUGGCAUCUCUGCUUUUCCCCCACCUGUUUCUCUGCACCACAUCCUAUGUUUUUGAAAAAGUUAGCAAGAAUAAAGGGGAUAAAUGCCCACUUUUGCCAAAGAAGUCAAGAUGGCUGGGACUGGGCUUAAUAAAGGGACUGUCACAGCCAAAACAGAACAUGUAAUCACCCUAUAAAACACCAUCUUUCCUUCGCACAGUUUGUAAUCCACCCACUGCUACACUGGGCUAGCACAUAACCCAGGAAGUGAAAGGAUUAGAAAUAAAGGUACAACUGUGGGCAUGGCUUCACUACAGCUGACUAGCUUCCCUCAACCUAGCCAGAUCUAGGUCAGCUUAACUACAGCACUCAGUGUGAAUAUUUCACACCUCUGAGCAACAUAGCUAUGUCAAUUAUAGACAUAGACUAGACCUAACUCAAGUUCAUGGCUCCUAGUGAAUGAUCUGCUGAAAGAAAGAAAGAAAAAAAACCCACAAACAAAAACAGUAAAGAUACCCAAAAGUAAAUUUUAUAAUCAACUUUAAUAAAAAACUUGUGUUCCUUUAAAUACACCUUUCAUUACCAAGGAAAGAGAUUUCCCCUACUCCAUCUGAGACACUUGUCAGAUUUGCCUUCACAUAUUUUUUUAUUUGUACUUUUGUAAUUACUUUCCAUACUUUAGCUGUUUCUUCCUCAAAAGAGCUUUCAUAUUUAAGAGCAGCAUAAACCCACACAGUACAUUUUCCUGUCAAACCUCAGCCAUUAUUGUUACGAAGAGAGAGCAGGAACACAUAAAGGAGAUCUUAAGCAGAAUAAAGUUCUAAUCAAAGAUGAAGAUAAUUCAUGAAUUGAAAUAGGUCAUUUUUUAAAAAGUAUCCUCUACAAGCAGAGCUUUGUAAAUUAGCAUUUAAGGCAGUUGAAUGCAGUGUCAUUGUAUUGACCCACUUGUCUCACAAAAGGAAGUCCUUUUUUAUGGAACAGGUUACAAUGUUUCUGUUUUGUUUAAACUAGAGAUACAAGCAUAACUAGUACAGUACAAGCCCAUGGUAAUCCUGAGUGACAGCUAAGUAUGUUUUUGAAAAGAAUGAUUACUUUAUUAUUAUUAUUAUUAUUAAAGGUGCAGUUAAGAUAUGCAGACUGCGCAGCUGUUGGGGCACUGUGCAUGUGAUACAAUCUGGCUCAAGAUUUUCAAACACAACUAAGAAGGGACAGAUAAUAUACAAAAUAAUGGUAGAGAAAGGUAUACCGGGAAUUUUUUGUUCACCACGGCUCAUUACAAGAACAAGGGGACAUUCAGUGAAUCAUAAAAAUGUAGGGCUGAAAGGGACCUUGGGAGGUCAUUCAGUCCAGCUAUCCACACGGGGGCAGGACCAAGUAUACCUAGACCAUCCCCGGCUGUGUUUGUCUACCCUGUUCUUAAAAAUCUCCAAGGAUGGGGAUUCCACAGCUUCCCUUAACCUAUUCCAGGGCUUACUUACCCUUAGAGUUUUCUUACUAUUAACCUAAAUCUCCCUUUCUGCAGAUUAAGCAGAUCAUUCCUUGUCCUGUCUUCAGUGGACAUGGAGAACAUUGCUCACAGUCUUUCUUGUAACAGCCCUUAACAUAUUUGAAGCCUUACCAGGUCCUCUCCUCAAUCUUUUCCUCACGACUAAGCAUGACUUUUUUUUUUAAAAGAACUUUUCCUCCUAGGUCAGGUUUUCUAAACUUACCAUUUUUGUUGUUCUCCUCUAGAUUCCGUACAUUUUGUCCACAUCUUUCUUGAAGUGUCUCACCAAAACUGGACACAGUACUCCAGCUGAGGCCUCAUCAAUGAGGUGUAGAAUUGAACAAUUAGCUCCCAUGUCUUUCAUAUGAUGCUCCUGUUAAUGCAUCCCAGAAACUAGAAGAUGGCAAAUUGAAAACUGAUAAAAGGAAGUAUUUUCAUACAAUGCAGUUUUGCCUUAAAGGAUGAACAACAACAGGAAGUGUGUGCUGAUUACAAAUAAAAAUAAUUACGCAAGA